AAAGGGAUAAUCAAAGAAGAAAAAAAAUAUAAAAUAAAAAUAGAAAAUAAAAUAGAAAGUUGUGGGUUGUCUUCCACGAAGCGCUUUGUUUAAUGUCGCAAGCUCGACAGAAGCCAGUAAUGGUUAUUAAAGAAAAAUACGGAUUAAGAAAAAGAGAAAAAUUGACAUUAAUAAAACAGGAAAUAUUCGCUAUGUUUUACGUCGAUAGUGCGGCGACUCAGGAGUGUAAGUACUCAUGGUGGUUCCUUCGAGGAUGAAUCCUCGGUCAAACUUUUAAUUAUCCUUGAUUUCCAUGGCCACUUAUCAAUC
This 309-nucleotide long non-coding RNA is filed under the name Lathyrus oleraceus (garden pea). RNAcentral describes it as "Pisum sativum (pea) long non-coding RNA (PSAT_LNC016706)". Lineage: Eukaryota; Viridiplantae; Streptophyta; Magnoliopsida; Fabales; Fabaceae. The record is from RNAcentral.